RNAcentral lists this ribosomal RNA (253 nucleotides) under uncultured bacterium. RNAcentral's name for it is "partial 16S ribosomal RNA". It matches the Rfam family "Bacterial small subunit ribosomal RNA", at positions 524 to 776 of the family's 1533-position model. The record is from RNAcentral.
UACGGAGGGGGCUAGCGUUGUUCGGAAUUACUGGGCGUAAAGCGCACGUAGGCGGCUUUGUAAGUUAGAGGUGAAAUCCUGGAGCUCAACUCCAGAACUGCCUUCGAUACUGGCGAUCUUGAGUCCGGAAGAGGUGAGUGGAACUCCUAGUGUAGAGGUGGAAUUCGUAGAUAUUAGGAAGAACACCAGUGGCGAAGGCGGCUCACUGGUCCGGUACUGACGCUGAGGUGCGAAAGCGUGGGGAGCAAACAGG